UCCUUCUCUAACUAACACUUAAAUGUCCUUUCACCAUGAUGCAAUUUCAUUUUGGCUUUUUGUUGUUGUGUUCAUAUAUUGUGCAUGAUAAGAUGAAAGCUUGCCUUUACUCGUUUCUGUAGGCUUAUUUCUGACUAGCAUAUUAUAGUCCUCUGCUUUUUUUUUUCCUUGUGAGCUCUCUAAACUUGAUUGCAUUUAGUUAGAAAAGGCAUGCUGGAGCUAUUACUUCUUGUUAAUUCUAGUACAUUGGAUUGAACUGAUAAUCAAUUAUGGACUUGAUGGUGUUAAGGAAUAUUAGCCAUGUCAACAUAUUUAAUAUGUUUAUUGGGAGGUGUUUUGAGGAAGGAGAAAAGCUCAGUAGACUUGACUGUUUGUUGGCUUAGAUACUGUGAUUCUGAUUUCUGGGAAAUGCUAGUAUACUUGAUGUAUUUCCGUGUGCUCAAAAUGUGGCUUUGAAUAUGUUCAUUUAAUUUCUUUGGAUUUCACUAAUUAUGUUUGUGUGUGUCUAGUAUUGUAUGAGUCUGGCUUUAUCAUUUACCAUUUUAGUUUUGCGCUUGUUAUUGUGGGCUGUUUUUCAUCAUAUUUUAUAUGCAGUUCUCACCCACAUCUGAGCAUAUAUUACUGGCUUAUGGCCGCCGUCAUGGAUCCCUUCUUAAAAGCAUCGUUAUUGAUGGGGAAACAACAUCUCCUAUUUACACAGUU
This 702-nucleotide unclassified non-coding RNA is filed under the name Hevea brasiliensis (rubber tree). Lineage: Eukaryota; Viridiplantae; Streptophyta; Magnoliopsida; Malpighiales; Euphorbiaceae. The record is from RNAcentral.